CUGGGUCAUGUCUCCUGGGUUGCAUGAUACAGCUUCCCUUGAUGGAGAGAAAUGGCCUUGCCUCUAAGACAGCAUCCCUGGAAAGAGCAUGUUCAGGCUUUGGACUCACCCCAGACUUGAGGUCAAGUCUUGAAGGACUUUCAGUUUCCUUAUCUGUAAAAUGUUACCUUCCCCUUGGAUUAUUAAGAUUGCAAAUAAUAUAUAUUUGCAAUAAUAAAUAAUAAUAUGGAAAGAGAUCUGACACUUAGUGGGAACCCAGUAAAGGAGAGCUGCUAUCAUUAUUAUCAUCAUUCCCACCACCACCACCAUCGUGGGCAGGGAAAGGAGCCCUAUGUUGAAAGUUGGGGAAGGGAAGUGGGUGUCAACAGGUAGGGCUCAGUUUGCAUGGCUAGCUCCCUGGGAAUUGCAUUUGCAAGCUUCUGUUUUGCAUGGUGACAGAUUUUUGCAUGCUAUCCCUUUAUCCCUCCAGAUAGCCCCAGUUGCCAUCUCUCUCUAGUUACCCUCACCCCUUCUGAGCCAGGGCUUUCUCCUGCCUGAGCACCUACUGUGGAUGGGACAGGUACUGCAGAGGACACAAAAGAUUCACGAAACACUGUUCCAUCCUGCUGGGGGAAUACCAGGCCUUAAAUUCUUACAAAGCAAAUUUGCAACCACUAACUCCAUGGAGGGUGGUGUUGAAGGUGGUGAAGGGAAACUGCACUGAGGAAGGUUCUGGGAAAGAGAGGGGGAUAAGCAGGAGGGGUGGUGCGAUCCAAUCAAACUAGCAGCUGAAAACCUGCAACUAUCAGGCACUCUUCCUUAUCUAAUGUUCGUAUCAGUUCUUUUAGGUAGUUAUUAUCUCCAUUUUCAGCUGAGGAAAAGGAACUUCAGAAAGAUUAAGUACCUUGUCCAACGUGACACAGUUAGGAAGUAGCUCCAAAAUUUUUCUGAUUGCGUUUACUGUCCCUGGGCUCUCAGUCCCACCUGUGUGCAGAGCAGUAGCUAUGCCUGAACAGGCUCGGGGGCAGUCCCACAAGCGAGCAAUCCACAAAGUUCAGAUUCAAGUUAUUCCCUUGGCAGCUGUGUGAAGUGGGCACUUUUCUCUCCCUGCUUGGCAGCGCCUCUCUGAGUUUAAAUGAGGUGAAGUGAAGUGUGCAGACCUCCCUCUCUCGGAGCUCAUUCUUACUGGUUCUAGUGGUACCCCUCUGGCCACCCUGAUGAAUGUAUCUUUCUCUUCCCGGCAGGGAGGUGGUGUCUCUUCUUCUCCAGGGCUUGCACUCCUAGCUCCUGCAGCUGUGUCUCUGCAGAAUGUGGCUUCUAUAUUCCUUUCCUUCCCCUGUGUUUCCUUGUAUAGGCUCCAUUUCCUCCUAAGACUCCAGGUCCCUCCUAAGAGUCAGAUAACAGCCAGCCAAACACUGUUCUCCAGGUGUGGCAUGAUCAGCGGGGAGAGAAAACAGGCUUUCCCACACUUGUGUCUGCUGCUGAGGACCACAGAGGGUUUUAUGGCAUCUUAUCAUGCUGCUGCUAGAGUGAGGGUGUGCUUGUGCACAUGUGUAAUGAGCAAAGUUUGGGUGGGGAUGACCACCCCUUUCCAGCAACCAGCUGCAUGAACCCAUCUAGUCAAAAUUUGAGUAUUCUGCUGAGCAGGUGCCCUAAGUGAGCCCAGUGAGAGUCAGCCUGGGAAAUCCAGCAGGAAGGACGACGAGGGAAAGAGGCAGUUCCUUGGUCGUCAUCCUCACCGCAGCAUGGAGGUGGUCUGCCUCCGAAGGAAGCCAACAUGGAGGAAAACAGAGUCAAGAGAAGUAGAGAAAGAUGGUACUAAUGCUAUCAUUGAGCCCUUCAUCUGGCUAUGCCAAAAGCCAGAGGCCCUCCUGAGGUUUCCAUUAUGUGAGCAAAUAAAUGAUCUCUUAUGCUUAA
Manis pentadactyla (Chinese pangolin) is the source of this 1896-nucleotide long non-coding RNA. RefSeq lists it as uncharacterized. NCBI's taxonomy places the organism in Eukaryota, Metazoa, Chordata, Mammalia, Pholidota, Manidae. The transcript has 2 exons. The record is from RefSeq and is a predicted model, not a curated record.